AUGCUCUCGCAUCGCUUUUUUUUAGAAAGCUCUACCAGCGAGAAAAAGUGUUUGGCCCGAGCCAAAAAGAGGUUGAUCCAUUUCAUUCGCCAACCGAAUGAUCUUCGCUUCGCGGGAACAACAAAAACCACCAUAUCGCUCUUUCCUUUCUUCGGUGCUACCUUCUUUUUUCCAAGGGAUGGGGUUGGGGUGUAUAAUAACCCUUUUUUUGAGUAUGCCCGGAAACAACUCCUAGCUCAAUUUAGGAUCAAAUGUAGGAACCUCAUGGGUAAGGAUAAGGUAAUGGAAUUGAUAGAGAAAUUCAUAGACCUAGGUGGGAUAGGAAAAUUGAUAAAGGGAAUAGAGAUGAUGAUAGAGAUCAUACUGAGAAAGAGGAUAAUUCCGUACGGGUACAACUCUUAUUUGAACAAAGUGCAAAAAAUGCGAUCUUUUUUGUCUAAUAGAAUAAACACUAAUACCUUAAUUGAGUCGGUAAAGAUCAAAUCUGUUUAUCAAAGUGCUUCUCUGAUUGCUCAAGACAUCUCUUUUCAACUGAGGAACAAUCCAAUCUCAUUUCGUUCCAUUUUUAGUAAAAUAGUGAAGGAUAUUCCAUUAAUAAUGCCAAAAGGGGUGGAGUACGUAUUUGUUGUUCUAGUCGAUUAG
RNAcentral lists this ribosomal RNA (642 nucleotides) under Triticum aestivum (bread wheat). RNAcentral's name for it is "partial small subunit ribosomal RNA". The record is from RNAcentral. Lineage: Eukaryota; Viridiplantae; Streptophyta; Magnoliopsida; Poales; Poaceae.